RNAcentral lists this ribosomal RNA (492 nucleotides) under uncultured bacterium. RNAcentral's name for it is "partial 16S ribosomal RNA". It matches the Rfam family "Bacterial small subunit ribosomal RNA", at positions 29 to 507 of the family's 1533-position model. The record is from RNAcentral.
AGUGAACGCUGGCGGUAGGCCUAACACAUGCAAGUCGAACGGCCGCACAGUAAGAUUUUGCUUUUACGGGUGGCGAGUGGCGGGCGGGUGAGGCAUACAUCGCAUUCUUCUAUUUCGUGGGGGAUUACGUAGGGCAACUUAUGCUAAUACCGCAUACGAUCAACGGGUUGAUGCAAGGGUUCUACAGGGCUUGCGCGUCUGUAUUAGCUGGUGUCGGAUUAGCUAGUUGGGUGGGUAAAGGCACACCAAGGCGACGAUACGUAGCUGGUCUGAGAGGAUGAUCGGCCACACUGGAACUGAGACACGGUCCAGACUCCUACGGGAGGCAGCAGUGGGGAAUCUUGCGCAAUGGGCGCAAGCCUGAUCGAGCCAUACCGCGUGGGUGAAGAAGGUCUUCGGGUUGUAAAGCUCUUUUGUUAGGAAAGAAAAGAAGCAGAUGAAUCCCCCGCUGUUCUGACGGUACCCAAAGAAUAAGCAACGGCUAACUACGUG